UGCAAAAUCAGCUCAGUCGGUAGAGCACGAGACUCUUAAUCUCAAGGUUGUGGGUUCAAGCCCCACAUUGGGCAA
This is a non-coding RNA of Podarcis lilfordi (Lilford's wall lizard), 75 nucleotides long. NCBI's taxonomy places the organism in Eukaryota, Metazoa, Chordata, Lepidosauria, Squamata, Lacertidae. The record is from the annotation of a GenBank genome assembly.